GGCUGGUCCAAUGGUAAUGGGUUAUCAGAACUUAUUAACAUUAGUGUGACUAAAGUUAGUAUUCAACCCCCCACUGCUAAAUUUGACUGGCUUAAA
Molecule: unclassified non-coding RNA, 96 nt
Organism: Microcebus murinus (gray mouse lemur)
Lineage: Eukaryota; Metazoa; Chordata; Mammalia; Primates; Cheirogaleidae
Rfam family: Y RNA
About the family: Y RNAs are components of the Ro ribonucleoprotein particle (Ro RNP), in association with Ro60 and La proteins. The Y RNAs and Ro60 and La proteins are well conserved, but the function of the Ro RNP is not known.
Source: Ensembl